This is a non-coding RNA of Rattus norvegicus (Norway rat), 1320 nucleotides long. Lineage: Eukaryota; Metazoa; Chordata; Mammalia; Rodentia; Muridae. The record is from RefSeq and is a predicted model, not a curated record.
CAGAUUUUAAGACGUAUUUAUUUUAUAUAUCCGGGUGUUUUUGCCUGCAUGUAUGACUGUGCACCAUGCGCAUGCGUGGUUCCUCUGGAGGUCAGAAGAGGGCAUGGUCCUCAGAUUCACCGGGACGGAGUUACAGAUAACCGUGAGCCAUCACGUGGACAACACAAACCCAGGUUCACUGCAAGGACAAGGCAUGCUCUUAACUGCCGAGCCAUCUGGCCCCAGUCACUCCUGUUUUUAUCCCUAGUCUUUCAGAUACAUCUUAGGGUCCAUUUAUACCCCACCUUAGAGCUUUCACAUGGGCAAGUGGCCAACUUGAGAGAACGGGCUGGUGAGAAACAUUUUCAAAGGUAGCUAAAGAGAAUUAUUCAGUUUCACAAGAGAAACUUGAAUUUUAGUUGACUUCUUUCCUGGAGAAACACAUCACUAGCCUUAUUAAGGUAUCUCACCAUGUUAUCUGCAGUACAAGGAAAACCAUUUGAUAUGUCUUCUUUCUUAGAGGGACUUCAAGGAGAAGAGAACACGCUGCUUACCAUGGAGAUGAUCUGACAUGGACCAGCCUUGCCCAGGAACUUUAUUUUUUUUCCAAAGUCAAGGCUGAGAACAACAGUGAGUCCACUAAUAAAUAAGAGGUCUGUGGUCAAAGAUCUGUGGAUGCUGUUAACAAGAAAUACAAUUUUAAUACGAUUCCAGUCGAUGUGCGCUCAGGGUCAAUAACGGAGAGAAAGAAGUCCACGUGGAUGGGGGAAAGUUUAAAAAAAAAACUCUUCCUGGAGCUGAAUUCCAGAAAACUGUGCCUUGGAAUAAAUUUAGAGCCCUCCCUGACCCCCCUGAAAGAAUCACAUAAUUUGGGUGAAUAUAAAAAUCAUAAUCACAGCUUUUGAGCCAAAAUGAUGGGCCAUUUCUAAAUUCUAAUGGAAGGGUCACUUCUGUUCCCCAGUUGUCCUGUCACCUGCUAGCACUUAUUCAUGGCACGCGGUAACUAUCUCAUGGUCGAUGUCCCACUCUUGAAUGGAUAUGUGGAUACUUCACAAGGACAAUGGAAUCAUGGAAGGACCGUGCCCUGGCGGAUAUAUGCACUGGCUCUCUGAAAGCAUCGGAAGCCAGAUCACUACCUGCGUGUUAUGUACUGCAUCAUUCAUUCCUGAUUCUCAAAGAGGCUGGAAGAAGACACUGGAUCUCCUAAAAUGGAUGGUUCUGAGCUGCCACGAGGGUGAUAGGAACGGAACCUGGGUCCUUGGCAACAGUGCCAGGUGCUCUUAGCUUCUGAGCCAUUACUCUAGCCCUGCAAUGGAUAUUAAAGAAAUGGAAGUCUUAAUU